This is a non-coding RNA of Lupinus albus (white lupine), 604 nucleotides long. NCBI's taxonomy places the organism in Eukaryota, Viridiplantae, Streptophyta, Magnoliopsida, Fabales, Fabaceae. The record is from the annotation of a GenBank genome assembly.
UUUGUCUCUCAUUAUGUUGAACCUUGUGUGUGUGUGAGGUUUAGUUAGGCAAUCUGCAAUUGGAUCUACUGUGGGCACAUCACUUUUCAUUCUUUCAAUUGAGCCAUCUGCCUUGUACUUGGUUUUAAAAACCCACUUUGAGUCUAUGAUAUUAUUCUACCCCUCAAAUGGUACUAGUGUCCAAGUGUGAUUUGCUGUUAGAGCUUUAAAUUCUGCAUUCAUGGCUUCUUUCCACCUCGUUUGGGCUUAUAGAUCCUUGUCUUGCUUCUAGUACGUAUCUUCUGGACAUGUUGAUCGUCCUCUGAUGUAUCCUAUGUUGGACCUAUUGUUGCUGGUGCUUCAUUUGUAUAUGGAGUUGCCUCAUCUGCAGAGAUCUCACUGAGAACUAGUUGAUUGACAGCUAGGUCAUCUUCCUGAGGGUUCACAUCAUUGUUAGUUGGUUCAAUUGUGUGACUUGUAGUAGUACUUGUAGGUAAAGGAUGAAGAACAAUAGAGUCAGUUUCAGUUAGAGUUUUUAGUGGAUUCCUUAUGUCAAGAAAGCCACCAUGAAAUGGAAAGUGAUUUUCAUUGAAGACAACAUGUCUUGAGACAAAAAUUCUUCUAU